CCCAGGCCCCGCCCCCUGCCGCCCGCCGCCCGCCGCCCGCGGUGACGACCCCGACCCCGCGCACGCGCAGAUGCCUGCAGACGCCUCCGAAGCGGGUGGCGAUCAGUGAGGGAGUGUCCCACUCUGGUUCCAACCUGCGUUUCGCUGCCCCUCGGGAUCCCGUCCUGCACACUCGGAGUCCAGGGAUCGCCCCGGACGUUAAAGUCCCCGCACCCGGAUUGACUUCUCAAGACUGACCUUGCCUGAGAAAGAAGCCCGGGGAGCUUACCUAAGAAAGAAGUGUCAGGAAUGUCUCUUUUCCAGGUAAAAGUCAUAUUCUUGGUUGAUUAUUUUGUCUCUCCUUCCUGAAAUGUCAUCUUUUCUUUUUGUUUGAGAGAUUGCGAGUUUACAGAACAAACAUGCAUACCAUACAGGGUUCCCGUACAUCACCCCACCACCAUUGUUGUGACACAUUUGUUACAAAUGAUGAAGCAACAUCAUCAUAUUACUGCAAUCAGUAAUCCAUAGCUUUUGUUUUUU
RNAcentral lists this long non-coding RNA (519 nucleotides) under Dasypus novemcinctus (nine-banded armadillo). RNAcentral describes it as "lncRNA (ENSDNOG00000052612.1)". Lineage: Eukaryota; Metazoa; Chordata; Mammalia; Cingulata; Dasypodidae. The record is from RNAcentral.